AACGCACAUGGCGCCUUCCAGUAUCCUGGGAGGCAUGCCUGUCCGAGCGUCGUUUCAACCCUCGAGCCCCCGUGGCCCGGCGUUGGGGAUCCGCCCAGGCGGUCCCCGAAAACCAGUGGCGGACCUUCCAGGCCCUUCUUUGCGUAGUAGCAUCAGCCUCGCAUCGGGAGCCGGCAGGAUUCCAGCCUCUAAACCCCCCCUAAAGUCCGCUCCGGCGGCACCAAGGUUGACCUCGGAUCAGGUAGGAAUACCCGCUGAACUUAA
Molecule: unclassified non-coding RNA, 264 nt
Filed under: uncultured fungus
Lineage: Eukaryota; Fungi
Description: partial contains 5.8S ribosomal RNA, internal transcribed spacer 2, and large subunit ribosomal RNA
Source: RNAcentral